This 461-nucleotide ribosomal RNA is filed under the name Babesia vulpes. RNAcentral's name for it is "SSU rRNA". It matches the Rfam family "Eukaryotic small subunit ribosomal RNA", at positions 494 to 974 of the family's 1831-position model. The record is from RNAcentral. Lineage: Eukaryota; Apicomplexa; Aconoidasida; Piroplasmida; Babesiidae.
CUUAUAGUCUUGUAAUUGGAAUGAUGGGAAUCUAAACCCUUCCCAGAGUAUCAAUUGGAGGGCAAGUCUGGUGCCAGCAGCCGCGGUAAUUCCAGCUCCAAUAGCGUAUAUUAAAGUUGUUGCAGUUAAGAAGCUCGUAGUUGAAUUUCUGCCUUAUCAUUAAUUUCGCUUCCGAACGUAAUUUUAUUGAUUUGGCAUCUUCUGGAUUAUAUAUUAUUUUUAAUAUAUUUUUCCAGUAUUUUACUUUGAGAAAACUAGAGUGUUUCAAACAGGCUUUUGCCUUGAAUACUACAGCAUGGAAUAAUGAAGUAGGACUAUUGGUUCUAUUUUGUUGGUUAUCGAACCAUAGUAAUGGUUAAUAGGAGCAGUUGGGGGCAUUCGUAUUUAACUGUCAGAGGUGAAAUUCUUAGAUUUGUUAAAGACGAACUACUGCGAAAGCAUUUGCCAAGGAUGUUUUCAUU